RNAcentral lists this unclassified non-coding RNA (347 nucleotides) under soil metagenome. RNAcentral describes it as "partial contains 5.8S ribosomal RNA, internal transcribed spacer 2, and large subunit ribosomal RNA". The stretch from base 1 to 120 matches the Rfam family "5.8S ribosomal RNA", at positions 35 to 154 of the family's 154-position model. The record is from RNAcentral.
GAUGAAGAACGCAGCGAAAUGCGAAAAGUAAUGUGAAUUGCAGAAUUCAGUGAACCAUCGAAUCUUUGAACGCACAUUGCGCCCGCUGGAACUCCGGCGGGCACGCCUGUCCGAGCGUCAUUUCAACCCUCAGGCCCCCCUUCGCGGGCGGGCCUGGUGUUGGGGCCCGGCCGCUACCCUGCGGCCGUCCCCUAAAUUCAGUGGCGGCCUCGCCGUGAUCCCUUGCGUAGUAAUGCACCUCGCACCGGAGAGCGCCGUGGCCACGCCGUAAAACCCCCAAUUUUCAAUGGUUGACCUCGGAUCAGGUGGGAAUACCCGCUGAACUUAAGCAUAUCAAUAGCGGAGGA